ACGCUGGCGGCAGGCCUAACACAUGCAAGUCGAGCGGUAGAGAGAAGCUGGCUUCUCUUGAGAGCGGCGGACGGGUGAGUAAUGCCUAGGAAUCUGCCUGGUAGUGGGGGAUAACGUUCGGAAACGGACGCUAAUACCGCAUACGUCCUACGGGAGAAAGCAGGGGACCUUCGGGCCUUGCGCUAUCAGAUGAGCCUAGGUCGGAUUAGCUAGUUGGGGGGGUAAUGGCUCACCAAGGCGACGAUCCGUAACUGGUCUGAGAGGAUGAUCAGUCACACUGGAACUGAGACACGGUCCAGACUCCUACGGGAGGCAGCAGUGGGGAAUAUUGGACAAUGGGCGAAAGCCUGAUCCAGCCAUGCCGCGUGUGUGAAGAAGGUCUUCGGAUUGUAAAGCACUUUAAGUUGGGAGGAAGGGCAGUUGCCUAAUACGUAACUGUUUUGACGUUACCGACAGAAUAAGCACCGGCUAACUCUGUGCCAGCAGCCGCGGUAAUACAGAGGGUGCAAGCGUUAAUCGGAAUUACUGGGCGUAAAGCGCGCGUAGGUGGUUUGUUAAGUUGGAUGUGAAAUCCCCGGGCUCAACCUGGGAACUGCAUUCAAAACUGACUGACUAGAGUAUGGUAGAGGGUGGUGGAAAUUCCUGUGUAGCGGUGAAAUGCGUAGAUAUAGGAAGGAACACCAGUGGCGAAGGCGACCACCUGGACUGAUACUGACACUGGGGUGCGAAAGCGUGGGGAGCAAAC
RNAcentral lists this ribosomal RNA (745 nucleotides) under uncultured bacterium. RNAcentral describes it as "bacterial SSU rRNA". It matches the Rfam family "Bacterial small subunit ribosomal RNA", at positions 33 to 773 of the family's 1533-position model. The record is from RNAcentral.